GUAUUUGGCAGGACAUCUACUAAAACUGGAAUGAUACAAAGAAGAUUAACAGGGCUUCUGUGCGAGAAUGGCAUGCAAUUUGGGGGAGCAAUCCCAGAAUAAG
Ahaetulla prasina is the source of this 103-nucleotide small nuclear RNA. Lineage: Eukaryota; Metazoa; Chordata; Lepidosauria; Squamata; Colubridae. The record is from RefSeq and is a predicted model, not a curated record.